UUUUGUGGGGUGCUCGAGUGGCGAACGGGUGAGUAACACGUGAGUAACCUGCCCUUGACUUUGGGAUAACUUCAGGAAACUGGGGCUAAUACCGGGUAGGAGCUCCUGCUGCAUGGUGGGGGUUGGAAAGUUUCGGCGGUUGGGGAUGGACUCGCGGCUUAUCAGCUUGUUGGUGGGGUAGUGGCUUACCAAGGCUUUGACGGGUAGCCGGCCUGAGAGGGUGACCGGCCACAUUGGGACUGAGAUACGGCCCAG
This 255-nucleotide ribosomal RNA is filed under the name uncultured Actinomycetales bacterium. Its description in RNAcentral is "partial 16S ribosomal RNA". It matches the Rfam family "Bacterial small subunit ribosomal RNA", at positions 78 to 334 of the family's 1533-position model. The record is from RNAcentral. Lineage: Bacteria; Bacillati; Actinomycetota; Actinomycetes; Actinomycetales.